RNAcentral lists this long non-coding RNA (230 nucleotides) under Rattus norvegicus (Norway rat). RNAcentral's name for it is "long non-coding RNA NONRATT010942". The record is from RNAcentral. Lineage: Eukaryota; Metazoa; Chordata; Mammalia; Rodentia; Muridae.
GUCGCAGACACCUUGUGAAAUGAGCGAUUCAGAAGACGAUGACAUACCCCAGCUUUCUUCCCACACCUUAGCAGCUCUGCAGGAGUUUUAUGCUGAGCAGAAGCAAACCAUCAACCCAGGAGGGGAUGAUAAAUACAACGUUGGGGUGAUAGAGGAGAACUGGAUAAACCUACCACAUACAAGGCACCGAAUUUAAUUUCAGGAGUCCAAAGGAAGAAGAAAAACAUUUA